Molecule: ribosomal RNA, 287 nt
Filed under: Bryodrilus ehlersi
Lineage: Eukaryota; Metazoa; Annelida; Clitellata; Enchytraeida; Enchytraeidae
Description: partial small subunit ribosomal RNA
Source: RNAcentral
GUCUCUUAAUUCGAUAGCCCACGUAAAAUCUACCCCUAUCUUGAAUAUCAGCUUGUGUACUGCUGUCGUCAGUAAACCUCUAAAAGAUAGUUUACAAUAAUAACAAAACCUAUUUACGUCAAGUCAAAGUGCAGCCAAUGAUAGGGGGUUUGAUGGGUUACAAUCUUCAUUAGAGAUACAGAUAAAUUCAACAAAAAAAUUUUAAAGGUGGACUUGAUAGUAAUGAUUAAACAAUCUCAUCAUUAACAAACAUCUAAGACAUGCACACAUCGCCCGUCACUCUCGUC